UUUCGGCACAUGACUUCAAACUUUUUCCUUCGUCGGCCGGUGUUUGGGAUCAACAGCCAGAUGGUGUUCCAUAACUUUAGCAUCGAUCUCUGACAUGUCCGUCGGAGCCCAAGCGAAAACAUCCACAUUCUUUUGUAAAAAAUUGAUAAGCUGUGUUCGCACCUCUUUCCCCAAGUUGGAGUCGAUCUUCAUCACGUGUUCUUCAUUCCCAUCAUUCAAAGGAAUUGAGACAAGAUCUUCAAUUGGCUCACCCCGUUCUUCAGCA
This 265-nucleotide long non-coding RNA is filed under the name Elaeis guineensis (African oil palm). RNAcentral describes it as "long non-coding RNA (EGUI_LNC061265)". The record is from RNAcentral. Lineage: Eukaryota; Viridiplantae; Streptophyta; Magnoliopsida; Arecales; Arecaceae.